This 689-nucleotide long non-coding RNA is filed under the name Lepeophtheirus salmonis (salmon louse). RNAcentral's name for it is "uncharacterized LOC121116319". The record is from RNAcentral. Lineage: Eukaryota; Metazoa; Arthropoda; Copepoda; Siphonostomatoida; Caligidae.
AGUCAUGUUGAAGCUCAAAAAGAAAAAGAAUAACUACGCAAGCAAUUUCAUGCACUAAACAAAUAAUUAUUUCAUUAUUUAAUUGUAUUUUAAUUUACAACGUAGUAUUUUACAAUAAACUCGAAAUUCUGUGAUAUGGGUUUAGUAAUUAUUUAAUUGUUGCAAUGGAAACUACAAAAAUUAGAUCUGCAGGUGCCAUUAUUGGCUUAGGAAAUACUGUUACGAUAGAAAAUCGUAGAUUGACAGCAGUCUGCCUUCCAGACUACCAUCAGGCUCUGAGUUUUACUUUGUGGCACAUACAGAAAGAGGUUGGCAAAGGAAAUAUUCCUAUCCUCUUGCUGCAAAUCAAGGAAUACUAAUACUACUGAAAAGGAAAGAUAAAUACGACGCUUACACACAGAGGACAACUGUUUCUUUUUCUGUAACUACGAGAAUGGGAAAUGACUGGCAUGAACAUUGAUUGACUCACGAUCUUAAAUAAUACAUUUAUUAACUUAUCCAAUAUUAUAUGUAUCCCUUAAUUUAAUCAUUUCAUUUUAUGUUCAGACAAACUUACUAGAUUAUUUGUGUUACUUUCGAUAUUCAUUUAGCAUAUAUUUUUUUUACAUUAGUUUAAAAAUAGUUUAUAUUUCAUAUGUAGUUAUAAUAAAAAUACAAGUGAACUAAAGUCAACAGUUAGGUAGAAUAAA